RNAcentral lists this ribosomal RNA (422 nucleotides) under uncultured Puia sp. RNAcentral describes it as "bacterial SSU rRNA". It matches the Rfam family "Bacterial small subunit ribosomal RNA", at positions 355 to 774 of the family's 1533-position model. Lineage: Bacteria; Pseudomonadati; Bacteroidota; Chitinophagia; Chitinophagales; Chitinophagaceae. The record is from RNAcentral.
UAAGGAAUAUUGGUCAAUGGACGCAAGUCUGAACCAGCCAUGCCGCGUGGAGGAUGAAGGCCCUCUGGGUUGUAAACUUCUUUUAUCUGGGAAGAAACCGGACCUUUCUAGGGCCGUUGACGGUACCAGAUGAAUAAGCACCGGCUAACUCCGUGCCAGCAGCCGCGGUAAUACGGAGGGUGCAAGCGUUAUCCGGAUUCACUGGGUUUAAAGGGUGCGUAGGUGGGCAGGUAAGUCAGUGGUGAAAUCUCCGGGCUUAACCCGGAAACUGCCGUUGAUACUAUCUGUCUUGAAUGUAGUGGAGGUGAGCGGAAUAUGUCAUGUAGCGGUGAAAUGCUUAGAUAUGACAUAGAACACCCAUUGCGAAGGCAGCUCGCUACACUAUUAUUGACACUGAGGCACGAAAGCGUGGGGAUCAAACA